AACUGCGAAUGGCUCAUUAUAUCAGUUAUAGUUUAUUUGAUGAAGAAUACUAAUUGGAUAACCGUAGUAAUUCUAGAGCUAAUACAUGUAUAAAGUCUUGUAGACUGCAUUUAUUAGAAUGAAAACCAUAGGUUUCGGCCUAUUCGUGAGUAAUAAUAACUAAUCAUAUCGUAUGCUUAUGUAACGAUGUGUCUUUCAAGUUUCUGCCCUUUCAGCUUUCGAUGGUAGUGUAUUGGACUACCAUGGCAGUA
RNAcentral lists this ribosomal RNA (251 nucleotides) under Blastocystis sp. RNAcentral's name for it is "partial small subunit ribosomal RNA". It matches the Rfam family "Eukaryotic small subunit ribosomal RNA", at positions 85 to 354 of the family's 1831-position model. Lineage: Eukaryota; Bigyra; Opalinata; Blastocystidae. The record is from RNAcentral.